CCUACUGGGGGCAUCAUUGAGGCAUCUUGGUCAAUGGGCUUACGCCUGAACCAGCCAAGUCGCGUGAGGGAAUACUGCCCUAUGGGUUGUACACCUCUUUUUUCCUUUCUCCCCGCCGGCUACGUGUAGCCGGACUGAGAGUACCUGAAGAAAAAGCAUCGGCUAACUCCGUGCCAGCAGCCGCGGUAAUACGGAGGAUGCGAGCGUUAUCCGGAUUCAUUGGGUUUAAAGGGUGCGUAGGCGGAAUGCCAAGUCAGCGGUAAAAUCGCGGGGCUCAACCUCGCUCCGCCGUUGAAACUGGCGGUCUUGAGUGGGCGAGAGGUAUGCGGAAUGCGUGGUGUAGCGGUGAAAUGCAUAGAUAUCACGCAGAACUCCGAUUGCGAAGGCAGCAUACCGGCGCCCAACUGACGCUGAAGCACGAAGGCGUGGGUAUCGAACAGGAUUAGAUACCCUAGUAGUC
RNAcentral lists this ribosomal RNA (460 nucleotides) under uncultured bacterium. RNAcentral describes it as "partial 16S ribosomal RNA". It matches the Rfam family "Bacterial small subunit ribosomal RNA", at positions 338 to 795 of the family's 1533-position model. The record is from RNAcentral.